AUGCUUUUGGGACCAGAGGCAAGUAUUACCAUGUGUUCAUUGUUUCAGAAUGCCCCUAAGUUGAAGAACCUUGAUAUGUGGAAUUACCCUGGGAGCACAUGGGAUCAGGAUCAGGAUCAGGCGAGCAUUCAAGAGCUUACCCUGCAAAUGCAAAUGAACCAUCUCAUAACGGUCCGUGUGAACGAUUUCCGGGGUGUGGACCACGAAUUCCAUUUCGUGGCAAAGCUAUUGAGCUGGGCACCUGCUUUGGAAGAAGUGAGAAUACAGUGGAAGGGCGAAAUGGACCGCAGCAUGGUUCUUACGAAGCUAUUAGCUCUGCCGAGGGUGUCUCCCAGGGCCAAGAUCAUCGUUACAUGA
Molecule: ribosomal RNA, 357 nt
Filed under: Triticum aestivum (bread wheat)
Lineage: Eukaryota; Viridiplantae; Streptophyta; Magnoliopsida; Poales; Poaceae
Description: partial small subunit ribosomal RNA
Source: RNAcentral